Molecule: transfer RNA, 65 nt
Filed under: marine eukaryotic metagenome
Rfam family: tRNA
About the family: Transfer RNA (tRNA) molecules are approximately 80 nucleotides in length.
Source: RNAcentral
CAGUGGCUCAAUUGGUAGAGCAGCGGUCUCCAAAACCGCAGGUUGGGGGUUCGAUUCCCUCCUGG